Molecule: non-coding RNA, 3603 nt
Organism: Coffea arabica (coffee)
Lineage: Eukaryota; Viridiplantae; Streptophyta; Magnoliopsida; Gentianales; Rubiaceae
Source: RefSeq, a predicted model, not a curated record
CCUCUCUUCCCAUCUCUUCUGUGCAGAAAGUUAUGUUCUUUUUUACUCUUCUGUUUUGUUAUUUUUGUAAUUUAUUCGCUUCUUUUAUGUAAUUUGCAUCUGGGUUUUUGAAAAUUUUCAAUUUGAUUGUUUGGGUUAGUUUGGGCAGUGUGGAGAUUGAUAAAAAUGCUUCCUUUGUCUAUGUAGAGAGGGAGAAUAGUGCAACAAAAGAAGCCAUGUCAAUUCUUGAAAAAGUAAUGAAUUCUGCUGGUUUUGUUUCUUCUCAGUUCUCGGGAACAAUGUCAAAAUAAGGAAAUUUUAGACAUAAAGAAAAUUCAUGCUAACUUGAGAAUCAGGACAGUUGAAUUAUUUUACUGAAGUUGGUUUGGUGGGAUUCUUAAUUUCUUAGCAAGGUUGGGAACUUGGCGCUUUUGUAAGUGAAUAAGACUGUAGCGGGCUUGAAUUACCGGUAUAAUGUGUUUGCUGCUGUAAUUGUUUUGGUUUAAGAUGAAUAGUAGCAAUGUUAUGGAAUAGAUGUUUGAAUGAUUAAGCGUAAGUAAACAGCAAAUGGGAUGGCAACUAUUAGAUAAAACUCGUGAAGUUUGGAGAACUGGGUGAGCUAUGCAGAAGGUAGGUACAGGCAUGUUGUAUUCUUCAAACGCAUUAGGUAUUAAGGGAGGGAGGAAAAACAAACAAACUAAAGUUGUUUUCCGUUUUAAAUGUGAUAAAUGUAUGGAAAUGAAGUGUAAUGCUAAUGGUCUUCAUUUGUGAGAAAAAUGGCAAAAUAAUGCAGUCGACACUGUUUUCAUCUGUUGAACUUAGUUUAGGAAAAACGUUUAUCAUUUUUGGGUUCUAAACUUGAUUAAGAUUUCAGUUGGCAGACAACCAGAAGGAUAAGAUGUCAAUUAUCCUGCCAAUAGGUUAUUAACAUCUGAGUCUAGUAGCUGGCUUUAAAUUUUUUUGCUGAUGAUCUUCCACUUCACGCAUUUAUUUGUAAUUAGUGCAUUGUUAGGUCACAGAUUAAUAUGGUUUAUUCCUUGUUUACAUCUCUUAUUCACCUUGCUUUGCUCACACUCUGUCAUUUGUCACUUGGUUCAAUCAAGUGACUCCGCUUAAGUCUGCUGUGCCUUCUUGAGUAAAUGACAUGAUUUGUCAUCCACAAUGCAACACUGGUUUAGUUCUUUAUCACCCACAUCUUUCCAGUGUGUAUAUAUGAAUGGGUUACUAUUUUCCUUGAAUUUGAAGAGGCAUAUGUAUACAUAGUCAGCUUAAGCUUGAGUACACUACUUAUAUAGGUUAAGGACAAAUUCACCUUACUAAUAUAGAAGUUUUGCAUUGUUUUCUUUGAAAAUAAAACAGAAACAAUUUAUAGAAGAUAUGCAAUAUUUUGUACCGUAAGAAAAAAAAUUAUAAAUAUAAAAGCAAUUUAAUAAGGAUAUGAUUAUAUUUCUCUGGAGAAUGACAUGGUCUUAAGAAAUCAUAAUUCUGUUAGGAGAAGACCAUGAGUCCAAUUUUGUAAGACAUUUUAGACAUCAGUAUUGCAUGCAUGAAUUAUUUAGCUGAUUGCCAAUCAUGUAGCAUAUGGUCUUAAGAAAUAGAUAUGUAAGCAUCAUUUUUGCUUUUAAAAAUAGAAAGGCAUUCUUUGUUGCCGUAUCUUUGGAUAAUGGUCCUUUGUCCAUACUUAAAGGAACGUAUAUAAGCGUGAGAUGUUGCACUCUUCUAGGACUAUAAGGAACCAAAUAAUAGGAGGACGAUUUAGAGUUUGCUUAAAAACUUGUGGCAGACAACUUUUAGGAAUUGUUUUUGGAUAUAUUUACACCAGAAGCCAAGCAUUGCCGCAGCUUAUCACCAUGUGAAAGAGAUGAAUGAGUUUCAGUCAUAUUUGAAGUCCCCUCCAAAGCCUGUAUCAUUUUGUGUGUAGCAAAAGGGAGACAAAGCGUGAACCAACUUGGAGAAUGGAGAGUACUCUAAAUGCUGAAGGUUUUGAAAGUUUGGAUGCGAAUAUGUCAGCUAAGAGCAGAAUAUCUGUAAGUACAGAGGAGGAACUUGGCAACAGUAUGGAGAGGAAAGAUGCAGACGAUGACUUUGGAGAACCUGGUUUUGGCUUCUUAAAAGAGAUGAUUUCAAGGCAAGAUUUGGUGGAUUGCAAGUUACAAAGAAUUGCUGGAGAAAACUUGUACAACCCAAAAUAUUAGCAGCGGACAAAGGAUGAAAUGGGAUUUCCCUUGCAAAAAUGAAUAGAUAGCUGUGUUUCAUUGGACAAUUAGCUGUUAGAAUGAAUGAACAGAAUGUACUCUAAAAAAGUUGUACAAGUUUUAAGUAAUUGUGUUGUUUCAAUUGUCUAUUCUGUCUUUCAACAGCCCCAUAUUGAUGUAUGGUGUGUGAACUGGAGAAGAACAAUAAACAAUUCUUUUCUUAAUGACAAAAGCAAUGAAAGAAUCAGAAAGAUAAUUGUAAUUUGGUACUUACAAAAAAACAUGUAGAUAUUAUGGUGUCUUAACUUCCCCGUUAAGGUAGACAGUGAAGCAGAAUAUCUUAGAUCACACACUACAUUCAGCUAGCUAGGGCUUGAUUAUCAAAAUUACAGAAAUCAUGUUUAAAAAAUAAGUUUCAAAAUGCACUAAGAUAGAGGACAUAUUGCUCAUUAAUUAACUUGGAUAUCAAACAAAAUAUGAUUGUGCUUCCUCUAUUCAGAGAGGAUUAAAACAUAAAACCCAAAAAUAAGGAACUUAAACAAUUUUGGUCUGUAGUCGGUUUGGCAGAGAACUUGAGUCAGUUUGGCAUGUAGUCAACUUAUCACAGGCUGGUGGUGGUGGUAAACUCCGUGCUUGGAAACUCAAGAAGCAAAUGAUGGCUUUAAGCUUAAGGGUAACUUUUGGUUCCUGUAGAUCCCCAAUUUAUGGCUUGGGAGGAUUCUAUUUUCACCUUACUGAAGAUGGUCCUAAUUAUGUCAUGAAGCCUGACGAUGAAGAGGAUCACGCAGUUUACUUCAACAAUGCCCCUCCAAGCCUGAGAAUGGGUGGCUCAAAGUUCCUCCCAUGCUUGCAUGCAGAUUUUUGCCCACUCACCAAGCAAUCAGUGGUAGCAAAAUCUAUGUCCUUAUGGAAUGAGGUAGACGAUCAAUGGGCAUCCUCUGAGCUGUAAUUUUCCAUUUGGUGAACCUCCUGUUGAAGGAUCUCUCUCUUUCCCUCCAUUGGAACAAGAAUUUGCCCCUCAGCGCCACAUCCUGUUUCCUAUCGGUGCUGGGGAUCAAGUUGUUAUUGUGUGUUUUGAUGCGGAAAUUGACAAAAGUGUUCAAGGUUUGUCGAGGAUCGCGAUUGGUUCAUUAUUAUCCCUCGUGUGUGGAAGGGAAUUACUUGUUCACAACUUUCGGCAUCAGUGUUUUUGCCUAUCAUAUAUUUGACAGGAGUUUAUUUGAAUGACCUGCUCCGUUCUGUAGUAAAGUCAAAGGGAUUGCCUGACCAGAAGUGGAUGGCAAGAAUAAGCAUAUGAGGAUGUGUAUCUAUAUACGGUGAGAUUUUUUUUUCCCUUUAAUUCUAUUCUGUAAUAGUACAUAUGUUUGGCAAAUUGGUGAACUCAAAUGUUUUUUGCCACUGCACUUUUAAUACCCCGUUGUUGUAUGAA